GACGAACGCUGGCGGCGUGCUUAACACAUGCAAGUCGAACGGACAGGCCCAGCUUGCUGGGUGCUCGAGUGGCGAACGGGUGAGUAACACGUGGGUGAUCUGCCCCUAACUUCGGGAUAAGCUUGGUAAACUGGGUCUAAUACCGGAUAGGACAAUCGUUUAGUGUCGGUUGUGGAAAGUUUUUUCGGUUAGGGAUGAGCCCGCGGCCUAUCAGCUUGUUGGUGGGGUAAUGGCCUACCAAGGCGUCGACGGGUAGCCGGCCUGGGAGGGUGGACGGCCACAAUGGGACUGAGGUACGGCCCAGACUGCUACGGGAGGCAGCAGUGGGGAAUAUUGCACAAUGGGCGCAAGCCUGAUGCAGCGACGCCGGGUGGGGGAUGACGGGCUUCGGGUUGUAAACCUCUGUCGACAGGGACGAAGCUUUGGUGACGGUACCUGUACAGGAAGCACCGGCUAACUACGUG
Molecule: ribosomal RNA, 464 nt
Filed under: uncultured bacterium
Lineage: Bacteria
Description: partial 16S ribosomal RNA
Rfam family: Bacterial small subunit ribosomal RNA
Source: RNAcentral